RNAcentral lists this ribosomal RNA (1356 nucleotides) under uncultured bacterium. RNAcentral's name for it is "bacterial SSU rRNA". It matches the Rfam family "Bacterial small subunit ribosomal RNA", at positions 27 to 1381 of the family's 1533-position model. The record is from RNAcentral.
GGAUGAACGCUAGCGGCAGGCUUAACACAUGCAAGUCGAGGGGCAACACGGGUAGCAAUACCUGGUGGCGACCGGCGCAAGGGUGCGUAACGCGUGAGCAACAUGCCCUAUACAGGGGGAUAAUCCAGGGAAACUUGGUCUAAUAUCCCAUAGUAUUUAGAGGUGGCAUCACCACUAAAUUAAAGCUUCGGUGGUAUAGGAUUGGCUCGCGUGACAUUAGCUGGAUGGUGGGGUAACGGCUCACCAUGGCGAUGAUGUCUAGGGGUUCUGAGAGGAAGACCCCCCACACUGGGACUGAGACACGGCCCAGACUCCUACGGGAGGCAGCAGUGAGGAAUAUUGGACAAUGGAUGGAAAUCUGAUCCAGCCAUGCCGCGUGCAGGAAGACGGCCCUAUGGGUUGUAAACUGCUUUUAUAUGGGAGCAAUAAGGUUUACGCGUAGACCGAUGAGAGUACCAUAUGAAUAAGCAUCGGCUAACUCCGUGCCAGCAGCCGCGGUAAUACGGAGGAUGCGAGCGUUAUCCGGAUUUAUUGGGUUUAAAGGGUGCGUAGGCGGCCUUGUAAGUCAGCGGUGAAAUUUUGCAGCUUAACUGUAACAGUGCCGUUGAUACUGCGGGGCUAGGAUUUGGUUGCUGUGGGUGGAAUGUGUGGUGUAGCGGUGAAAUGCUUAGAUAUCACACAGAAUAUCGAUUGCGAAGGCAGCUCACAAAGCCAAGAUUGACGCUGAGGCACGAAAGUGUGGGGAUCAAACAGGAUUAGAUACCCUGGUAGUCCACACUGUAAACGAUGAUAACUCGCUGCCGGCGAUACACAGUCGGUAGCCAAGCGAAAGCGAUAAGUUAUCCACCUGGGGAGUACGACCGCAAGGUUGAAACUCAAAGGAAUUGACGGGGGCCCGCACAAGCGGAGGAACAUGUGGUUUAAUUCGAUGAUACGCGAGGAACCUUACCCGGGCUUGAAAUGCAGACGACCGACAGGGAAACUUGUCUUCCAGCAAUGGUGUCUGUGUAGGUGCUGCAUGGUUGUCGUCAGCUCGUGCCGUGAGGUGUCGGCUUAAGUGCCAUAACGAGCGCAACCCUUGCCAUUAGUUGCUAACAGGUUAAGCUGAGAACUCUAAUGGGACUGCCAUCGUAAGAUGCGAGGAAGGUGGGGAUGACGUCAAAUCAGCACGGCCCUUACGUCCGGGGCGACACACGUGUUACAAUGGGUGGUACAGAGGGUUGCUACCUGGUGACAGGAUGCUAAUCUCUUAAAUCCACUCUCAGUUCGGAUCGAAGUCUGCAACCCGACUUCGUGAAGCUGGAUUCGCUAGUAAUCGCGCAUCAGCCAUGGCGCGGUGAAUACGUUCCCGGGCCU